RNAcentral lists this ribosomal RNA (133 nucleotides) under uncultured archaeon. RNAcentral's name for it is "partial 16S ribosomal RNA". It matches the Rfam family "Archaeal small subunit ribosomal RNA", at positions 336 to 473 of the family's 1478-position model. The record is from RNAcentral.
CAGGCGCGAAAACUUUACAAUGCGGGAAACCGUGAUAAGGGAACUCCGAGUGCCCGUAAAAUCGGGCUGUCCAUCAGUUUAAAUAACUGGUGAAGAAAGGGCCGGGCAAGACCGGUGCCAGCCGCCGCGGUAA